Molecule: long non-coding RNA, 1315 nt
Filed under: Equus caballus (horse)
Lineage: Eukaryota; Metazoa; Chordata; Mammalia; Perissodactyla; Equidae
Description: lncRNA (ENSECAG00000050696.1)
Source: RNAcentral
GAGCUAUCCAGGGUCCAGAUUUCCUGUAUCCCACCACAGCCAGGUGUUCCUAGAAGCCUUCACUUCAGCAGCCCCCCACUCCAUACUACCAAAUCUGUGCCUGGGGCACCAGGCCUUUGCCCCUGACAAGUGACAGUGAUGCCUGGCCGGCCUUCUCGUGAGCUGUAAGGAAGAGACUGGCACAGUCAUGCACUAGGCAUUGAGAGGGAGGUUCCAAACCGCUUCGCAGUCCUGGGGACUCCUCCUGCCCAAAUAAGCACCAGUAGGGCCCCUGCAGGAGUCAGAACCUGGGAGAGCGAUCCUCUGUCCAUUUACAGCAAAACUGGGGAUACGAAGGCUGCUGGUCACAAGCCCUGGUCUACCCUUCCUCCACACCAGGUUAGAAGAACGAUCAAUGGAAGGACAGAGGCAGGAAAUGGUUAACCCAGAGAAGAGCCUCAGAAGCCAAUUGACCCCUCCCGGUUGGGCAAUAAGGCCUCUGAGGGCUGCUUUUGCUGACCUCCCUUUGGCGCCACAGAGCUGGACAGCCAGAGCUUCCAACCUGUCUGGAGGUGGAAGAGGGACUGGGAGUCAGAGCGCCUGGCUCCUGGUCCUGAUGCUUCCUCUCAGUGGCUUGUGACCUGGGCAAGCCCCAUGGACUCUCUGGACCUCGGUUUCCUCCUCUGCCAAAAUGGGGAUCCUCUACCGUCUUUGCCUUCCUCAUGAGGUUAGGAGAGCCAAUGAGAGAAUGCUCUGGAAAGCACCUUGUAAAUUGCAAAGCACUCUACAAACAGAAGGCAUCUCCAUUGAACAAUUAUGUAACCCGCUGACUCAGAACUGGGCUGCGCUGGCUCCUCUCCCGCCAGGACGUCAGAAGAGCUGGCUCGGUCCCUCACCUGGCACAACUCAGUUAUAGUUUCCCAUCUGACGAAUGGAGAAGACACUCAUUGUCCUGCUUUGCGGAUUUGUGGCAAGAAUCACAGAAGAUCAUGGUCGCAGGCUGACGUCUCUGAGUUUUGUGAUAGAAGCAUAAAGACUGAUUCCCACAAAGAGGAUAAUGGCCAGGAUUGGGGUCCCGAUACAGUUUUGCGACACCUUUUGCUGUCUGCACAGGUCUCUCUUGGGCAAUACUUUGCAGCGUUAUUUCUGGCAAGGAAUUUGAAGUCGGUUGCCUGAGUAAAGGGUAAAAUUAGAAGUGGGGAUCAGGAGUGAAGGUCGAGUUAGCUUGCUGUGGGUCCCCCUUCCCCCGGGUCAGAAGCAGGUGGGGACUGUGUGGAAGAGGGAGGGGGUGAGUGCUGGGGGAAUGGGGAUUCCUGUCAUCUUGGUCUUGGGCAAG